GGAGCGGAUCCACACAGACAAGAGCUCUCGAAGAAGCGAGGGGUUUCCCAUAGGAGCUGUAGCCAGCUGGGGCCCUGGCAGCAUCUCCCCUCCUAGAGCCAGGCUGCGCUGCUCAGGAGCAGCCGAGCUGUAUUUAAUCUGCACCACCACAUUAGGAAGUUGGAAGCUGGCUGGAGGUGGGGCCGGUUUGACUGUGGAACGUAAGCUGGGCUCAAGUUGCUCCUUCCUGGGAUCUGUUGUUCUCGGUGGCUUGAUUCAAAGAUCUUUCCCUGGAGUUGUUGCCACUGGAGUGGGGCAGCCCUGCAGUCUCCUGUGAUCGAUGAGCCUGGCUGAAGAAUCUGACGACUGGACUAACGUCUGUCUUCACCCCCAAACAUCACAGGCUCUAGCCGCCCUCGUCCUCUCUCCUGCCCAGCUGUUGGAAAGCAGGGACGGUCUGGGGAGGGAUGACAGCUGCAUCUUGCAUUCCGCGGCGCUCGCGAGAACACUGGCCACGUGGAUGCAAACUUCCCUCGCCUGAUUUUUGGUGAUGCCAUCUGCCCAUGCUCGGAGUAGAGCUCAGUUGGUAGUCGUAGCGGAGGAGGAGUGGAAGCCAAGGGCCUUGGUAUCCCGGAAAGGCGUCUCUGGGAGAAAUACCUGACGUCAGUGCCAGGUGAGUCUCACUUUCAUCAGCACUAGAAUAGGGGAAGGGUAAAUGGCUGUCCUCAAGCAUGGGUCAAUUACAGAGCUAGCCACCCUUCUCUAAGGCUAAAGUGGAGGAGCAGUUAAGCCCCUCUCUGUAGUGAUAGCUGGAGCCAAUAGAAGCCAUCGCCCAAGGCAAUUAGUUGCAUGCCAAAGCCUGAGUGGAAUUAAAUGAUGUGGUCUGAGGGGUUUCCCUGGGGACUGAUUGCAAACACAGGGGGUAGGGGAAAGGGGAAGUUGCAUGGCAAGCUGUGUGCCGGAGGGAGAAAGCCAGCAGGCACUGAGAAAAGCAUGUCCCUGAGACAGGGCAGAGGGACAGAGCUCCUUGGGGCACAGGACUGGCAAGAGGCAGGCUUGGAAAUAGCGAGCCAGGAACCUGCCUGCUGUCGUUUCCUUGAUCACAGUAGAAACAAACAGGACAUUAUGUGCAUAAGAAGUCAGGACUUUGUGCAUUCUGUGUAAAUAAACAGGAUUGCACCAAAGAACUACCUGACGCGUGGCAUCAGUUUUUCCUCCACAUGGAAACAAGCCUGGCCGUGCUUAACCGCUUGGGCAAAGGGGAAGCGGUAGCGACAACAAUAUUGUAGAACUACAGCGGCUGGCACAGCAGAGCUUGAGUGCACCUCGGAGCCAGCGACCAAAGAGGCAGAGAAAGCGUCAAGGGUCGAAGAAAGAAAAGAUACUCCACUAACCUGAAACUUGGAGACGGGGAAGGGGACAUCGGGACAAAGCAUAAGAGAGGAGUCCCGGGUUCAUACUUCAGACUCUUGCAAAAAACGCUCUGGCAGUGCACGCUGAGGAAAUAAAGACAAAUCAGACCCAUUUUGAGCUAUUUAUCUCACCCUUCAAUCCUCUCCCCAGCCCCCGCAUUGGAACAAGGCCUCUGCCACCCCAGUCCUAAGAUCUCCCUCCCCUCCCAGCCAUCCUCCCGGCUCCGAUCAGCUCCUGGUUCUCACUUUCCAGCCUGGGCCUGACUCGGUUCCCUGCUAGCUGUAGGAACGAGGAGGGGAGGGACGCUGGGAGCCCCAGCUGGGUUUCUGGAGUGGGGGGCAGGCCCCCGUCUGUGUCUCUUUCCAGGACCUGCUCUAUGCCCAAGC
This is a long non-coding RNA of Mauremys mutica (yellowpond turtle), 1778 nucleotides long. RefSeq lists it as uncharacterized. The record is from RefSeq and is a predicted model, not a curated record. The transcript has 3 exons. NCBI's taxonomy places the organism in Eukaryota, Metazoa, Chordata, Testudines, Geoemydidae.